GAGCCCAUAGCUCAGCUGGUAGAGCAGCUGACUUUUAAUCAGCGGGUCGCAGGUUCGAGCCCUGCUGGGCUCACCA
RNAcentral lists this transfer RNA (76 nucleotides) under Rhodospirillaceae bacterium. Its description in RNAcentral is "tRNA-Lys". It matches the Rfam family "tRNA". Rfam says of the family: Transfer RNA (tRNA) molecules are approximately 80 nucleotides in length. Their secondary structure includes four short double-helical elements and three loops (D, anti-codon, and T loops). Lineage: Bacteria; Pseudomonadati; Pseudomonadota; Alphaproteobacteria; Rhodospirillales; Rhodospirillaceae. The record is from RNAcentral.